CUGGAGGAAGCACGGGCUAAGUUCGUGCCAGCAGCCGCGGUAAGACGAACCGUGCGAACGUUAUUCGGAAUCACUGGGCUUAAAGCGCGUGUAGGCGGAUGGGGACGUCGGUUGCUGAAACCCCCCGGCUCAACCGGGGAACGGGCGCCGAAACGCCCCGUCUGGAGGGACGUAGGGGGACCUGGAACUUCCGGUGGAGCGGUGAAAUGCGUUGAGAUCGGAAGGAACGCCCGUGGCGAAAGCGAGGUCCUGGACGUUUUCUGACGCUGAGACGCGAAAGCUAGGGUAGCGAACGGGAUUAGAUACCCCGGUAGUCCUAGCUGUAAACGAUGGGCACUAGGUAGGGGGCUCGCCGAUGGGCUCUCUGCCGCAGGGAAACCGUGAAGUGCCCCGCCUGGGGAGUAUGGUCGCAAGGCUGAAACUCAAAGGAAUUGACGGGGGCUCACACAAGCGGUGGAG
Molecule: ribosomal RNA, 459 nt
Filed under: uncultured Planctomycetota bacterium
Lineage: Bacteria; Pseudomonadati; Planctomycetota
Description: bacterial SSU rRNA
Rfam family: Bacterial small subunit ribosomal RNA
Source: RNAcentral